CUCGCAUCAUUUCUCUUCCUUUUACUAAUAUUUUUUUCUCCAAUUUGGCUUAAUUUUCAAGCCAAUUUACCUAAUUUUCUUUUUUUUUUUUUGGUAACUAUUUGCUAUAUCUAUUGGUGGUUGUAUUGUUUUGUUCGAUUUGUGUGGAAGUCCUAAAAUUUUUAGUUAAACAUUAUUUUUUAUUUAUAUACAUUUUACUUUCCUGGUCAAGUCACUCAAUUUAUUUUUUUUUAGUUUUAAAUUUAGUUUCUAAUUCUACCGUUAAUUGUUAGAAUGAUUUGAUGAAGUACUUAAAUGGUCGUUGUGAAGACUUGUACAAUAAAACUUUCGAUAUAUUACUUUGACGAAAAUUGAAUGGAAAUAAGAACAAAAUUGUCUUCCAAAUUGGUAAAAUUAUGUUAACAAUUCAAAUAUUCGCAAUUGCUUCUCAAUCUGCACUCCCAACUAGUGGUUGGAUUCUUGAUUUCUUUAGGAGUUCAUUAAGUGAAAAGAUGGUUGCGCCAAUUAGUAUCAAAUAAGAGGUUAAAACUAAACUAUUUUUAUUAUGUUGUUGCAUUGUAAUGAUUAGAAGUCAAACCAAAUCGAAAAAGGUGAUUUGGUUUAGUUAGGUUUGAAAUUAAAGUAAAUUGGUUCAAUUUGUAAAAAAUGAUGAAUAUACAAUCAUUCUAUCGAUAACAAUCCUG
This 683-nucleotide long non-coding RNA is filed under the name Olea europaea subsp. europaea. The record is from RNAcentral. Lineage: Eukaryota; Viridiplantae; Streptophyta; Magnoliopsida; Lamiales; Oleaceae.